Molecule: non-coding RNA, 58 nt
Organism: Azospirillum brasilense
Lineage: Bacteria; Pseudomonadati; Pseudomonadota; Alphaproteobacteria; Rhodospirillales; Azospirillaceae
Source: Rfam
GGUGAGGUCCGGGCCCCUCUGGCAGCGUCGCCCGGCGCUGUGAUGUCGGACUUCCCAU